RNAcentral lists this transfer RNA (73 nucleotides) under Deltaproteobacteria bacterium. RNAcentral's name for it is "tRNA-His". It matches the Rfam family "tRNA". From Rfam's summary of the family: Transfer RNA (tRNA) molecules are approximately 80 nucleotides in length. Their secondary structure includes four short double-helical elements and three loops (D, anti-codon, and T loops). Further hydrogen bonds mediate the characteristic L-shaped molecular structure. tRNAs have two regions of fundamental functional importance: the anti-codon, which is responsible for specific mRNA codon recognition, and the 3' end, to which the tRNAs corresponding amino acid is attached (by aminoacyl-tRNA synthetases). tRNAs cope with the degeneracy of the genetic code in two manners: having more than one tRNA (with a specific anti-codon) for a particular amino acid; and 'wobble' base-pairing, i.e. permitting non-standard base-pairing at the 3rd anti-codon position. The record is from RNAcentral. RNAcentral also lists the same sequence under 1 other name. Lineage: Bacteria; Pseudomonadati; Myxococcota; Myxococcia.
GUGACUGUAGCUCAGUCGGUAGAGCGACGGACUGUGGCUCCGUAGGUCGCGGGUUCAAGCCCCGUCAGUCACC